Molecule: long non-coding RNA, 305 nt
Organism: Rhodamnia argentea
Lineage: Eukaryota; Viridiplantae; Streptophyta; Magnoliopsida; Myrtales; Myrtaceae
Exons: 2
Source: RefSeq, a predicted model, not a curated record
CCCCCAAACCCCAAAUCGUUCAAGAAGCUCAUCUCCCGCACCUGGGUUUUGCAGAUGAUCUGUUUCUUUUCUUGAAUGGUGGUGAUGGGCAACCAUUCGGGGGCUAUUUCUAGUAUCUUUCGACGGAUUUGGAAUCCUCUCUGGCUUGAAGCUUAACCCCAGCUCAAACUGCUACGUUCGCAGCUGGAAUUUCCAGAUGGGGGUCAAGCAAAAUCUGCUAGAGUUUCAAGAUUGGAAGCAUCGGUGCGUACAUGCAGAGGGUUUACAACCUCCUCUUUCGACUAAGGUGCAGUGCAUCAUCUCCC